UACAGAGAGUGGUAGAGCAGGGUGUCCAGUGGCAGCUCUCCCACACUCGCUCCGCUCCUCCUCAUCCAGCGCUGGAGCCAGACUGCAGCUCAGGCUUUUUAUCAUUUAGCUGCAGGGAUAGAUGACUGUAAUGAAGGCGGCUCCUGACCGUCUGCUCCUCAUGGGGUAACAUCAGAUGAUAAUCUGCUUCACAGCACAUGUGUCAGAUGGAAGGAAUGCUAAUCUGGAAGAGGUGCAGAGCUUGGACUUUUUGGCAGCCAGUUUCCACUCUGCACUUACUUUCCAUGUGGUGCCGCUCCAGAGGCUCCAGGCGGGAGAAGCCUGUUUGGGGAACGGAGGUGUUGACGGAUCCCAGAUCGCCCCAUUGACCACGCCCCCCAUCUGAGGGUCACGGCUCUGAAGGACAACUGACCUGAACUUCUGUUCCAGUACCACUUCCAAAUCUGUAGUUCAUAUUAAGGUCUGGAAUGAAUGAUUGUGAUUUCUCAAUGAAGAUGUUAAAUGUGUGAGACCUAGGUUUGCUGAUCUUCACCUGUCAACUCACGUGGUUUACGGGGACUCUCCAUAGGCAUAAUGGUUUUUAUACUGCACCAACUGUAUUUUCUAUCACCCUUCACCAACCCUACAAAAUUGGGGUUGAUUUCGACUUCACAUACAAACGUAAGUAGAAUAGGCUGAUUAAAUUUGUCUUUAUUUUAAUGUGAUACAAAAUAUUUUUCAGCAGUGAUAGAUAUAUGAUUUAAGACCGUAGUGUAUUUAAGUUUACCGUAUUUUUCGGACUAUAAGCCUGAGUAUAAGUCGCAUCAGUCCAAAAAUACGUCAUGACGAGGAAAAAAACAUAUAUAAGUCGCACCGGACUAUAAGUCGCAUUUAUUUAGACCCAAGAACCAAGAGAAAACAUUACCGUCUACAGCCGCGGGAGGGCGCUCUAUGCUGCUCAGUGUUAGACUACAGGAGCACUGAGCAGCAUCUCUGGCAGCAUAGAGCGCCCUCUGGCGGCUGUAGACGGUAAUGUUUUCUGUUAGUUCAUUUCUCUCGGUUCAUGUCAAAUUAAUUUUGAUAAAUAAGUCGCACCUGACUAUAAGUCGCAGGACCAGCCAAACUAUGAAAAAAAAGUGCGACUUAUAGUCCGGAAAAUACGAUAGUUA
This is a long non-coding RNA of Carassius carassius (crucian carp), 1148 nucleotides long. RefSeq lists it as uncharacterized. The transcript has 3 exons. The record is from RefSeq and is a predicted model, not a curated record. NCBI's taxonomy places the organism in Eukaryota, Metazoa, Chordata, Actinopteri, Cypriniformes, Cyprinidae.